This 58-nucleotide transfer RNA is filed under the name Libnetis sp. UPOL A00583. Its description in RNAcentral is "tRNA-Leu". The record is from RNAcentral. Lineage: Eukaryota; Metazoa; Arthropoda; Insecta; Coleoptera; Lycidae.
UGUAGCAAAAUAGUGCAUUAAAUUUAAGAUUUAAUAAUAAAGUCAAGCUUUCUUUAGA